CCUACGGGAGGCAGCAGUGGGGAAUAUUGGACAAUGGGGGGAACCCUGAUCCAGCCAUGCCGCGUGUGUGAAGAAGGCCCUCGGGUUGUAAAGCACUUUCAGUGAGGAAGAACGCCUGGUGGUUAAUACCCAUCAGGAAAGACAUCACUCACAGAAGAAGCACCGGCUAACUCCGUGCCAGCAGCCGCGGUAAUACGUAGGGUGCGAGCGUUAAUCGGAAUUACUGGGCGUAAAGCGCGCGUAGGUGGCUUGAUAAGCCGGUUGUGAAAGCCCCGGGCUCAACCUGGGAACGGCAUCCGGAACUGUCAAGCUAGAGUGCAGGAGAGGAAGGUAGAAUUCCCGGUGUAGCGGUGAAAUGCGUAGAGAUCGGGAGGAAUACCAGUGGCGAAGGCGGCCUUCUGGACUGACACUGACACUGAGGUGCGAAAGCGUGGGUAGCAAACAGGAUUAGAUACCCCAGUAGUC
This 465-nucleotide ribosomal RNA is filed under the name Vreelandella stevensii. Its description in RNAcentral is "partial 16S ribosomal RNA". It matches the Rfam family "Bacterial small subunit ribosomal RNA", at positions 338 to 795 of the family's 1533-position model. Lineage: Bacteria; Pseudomonadati; Pseudomonadota; Gammaproteobacteria; Oceanospirillales; Halomonadaceae. The record is from RNAcentral.